This 1725-nucleotide unclassified non-coding RNA is filed under the name Leishmania donovani. RNAcentral describes it as "gene:unknown". Lineage: Eukaryota; Euglenozoa; Kinetoplastea; Trypanosomatida; Trypanosomatidae. The record is from RNAcentral.
UGACGAUGCAGGACACCUCGCCGUGGUACGACGGUCUGGUGCCCACUCUGCGGGAAAUCGAAAGAGCCUGCGGCCUGCCCUCGCGUAUGCGCUGCGGACCUUUGGUGUCGGCAGACAAGCCUGGCCUGGCGCCUUACCGGGGAGACUAGUGGUUAUGGUCAGGCGUGUACCAGCCCACUGCGCAUCCUGUCGGCUACUCGGCAACUAUAGCAGGCUAUGGGUACGUUGAGCGCAGACGCAUGCUCAUGCGUGGGUUUCUUCCGCCUGUGUGACACCCACUCGUGUGAGAGGCGUGCGGAUUCAGAAGAAGGUGGAACGCCCCUGCGGCCACAGACGGAGGGCAGCGCCCUACCUGUCGCGUCACAUGCGGGCAAGCCAACCCCAGACACGCCCCCUCCCCAGGCAACAACGCCGUCCUGAAGCUGGCCACAGGAUGCGAAUAAAUGCGAGCACUGUGCGCGCUGUCAUGCACAGCUGGCAUGGCGUAUCACGUCCGAAGAAGGCGCCCGGAGGCCGGGGGGCGGGGGAACGCGCGUGAUGGGCGACAAAGGCGCAGAAGUAUGCACACCGACCAGCCCCACAGCGCAUGCGUGCGAAGUGUGCGGCGUCUCCUGCAUCCGAUCGGGGUGGGCUGAUGCGGCGCAGGUGCCGGAAGCGUCCGCGGAGCACCCCGAGCUACACCAUCGAGCUCUCCAGACUCCAUUGUACAGCGUCUCGACACUAUAUUAUGCAAUGCCGCGGCCUGAGGCGACUGAGGGUGAAGCAUGGCAUACGCAGGCAGGAUGCUCAGGGCCUCAGAGUGCCCUGGCUUGAGGCAGGCCAACUUCCGCCGUGAGCUCGUGCGGCGUGCACCUAGAUCACCGCUUCCUCACUACCCGCACGACGGGAGCCGCUGCUUCCGUCCUGGAACAGGGGACUUGGUGCGGCCCGCUUGCAUCACGACAUUGCUGUCCACCCAGGCUCGUCAGACGCAUGGCCCGGCUUGGCGGCUGCACAGCUCGUCCGAGGCGACGAGGCUCUGGCCGUGUGCCUACGAAGACAGAUGAGCUGCGCUUGUAUGUGUAUACAUUUGCGGACGGCUGAUUGUGGAACGGACACACGUUGAUGAGGGAAGAGAAAAGCUUCCAUGUUGUUAUUGCGCGUUCGGGCUGCGCAGGUGGUGCGUUAUGGGCUUAACUGUCACGGGUAUGGCGGUGCUGGACGCCCGCGGAUGCGCGGCUGUGUGUAUUGUAUCGCUGUCCUUCUCCACUCCCGGUCAUUCCUCAUGCUGUGGCUUUGUGCGCUGUAGAAACGAGGUGCACGUUCUCCGUGGCGCACCGUGCUUCCUCGAACCUCUUUCACACUCGGUUUGGUGGCGCGUUCUCCAAAGCCUGUGUGCACAUGCUUGCGCCUCCUCGCGUCUUCUGUCCUUUCUUUGGUCUGUGCAGUGACUGUGCCAGCCAUGGAAAAAAAGUCUGCACAGGCCCACCGACAUCGAUCACCGAAGCGCCGUGCACUCUGCAGGUCGUGAGGCCCCACCCAUCAGAUUCUUGCUUAGCUUUUCCUUGCGGGCGCGACAUGCAAAACUGAACAGGCGUGUGCUGCAGCGUUGCCUCGUGAAGGAGCCUAUCAUCAUGCCAUCUGUGGCCCGCUACGUGCUGUAAAGGCUGCUUUGCCUGUACGUCCUCCACGACCGCGUUUCCUUUUUUUUCGCCUGAGUUUGUCGCUCUCUCUCUCGUUAUGUAG